Molecule: ribosomal RNA, 207 nt
Filed under: uncultured delta proteobacterium
Lineage: Bacteria; Deltaproteobacteria
Description: partial 16S ribosomal RNA
Rfam family: Bacterial small subunit ribosomal RNA
Source: RNAcentral
CGUGUAGGCGGCGGAGCAUGUCGGGUGUGAAAGCCCUCGGCUUAACCGAGGAAGUGCGCCCGAAACUGCUCUGCUGGAGUGCUGGAGAGGGUAGCGGAAUUCCCGGUGUAGAGGUGAAAUUCGUAGAUAUCGGGAGGAACACCAGUGGCGAAGGCGGCUACCUGGACGGACACUGACGCUGAGACGCGAAAGCGUGGGGAGCAAACA